AUGGCUGCGCUCCACCGCCUCCUUCUCCUCCUCCUUCCUCUCGUCGGCCUCCUAGUUCUACUCCCACUCCCGAUUGCCGCCUUCGACGACGCCAGUUACCUCCUCGCCGCCAAGGCUGUGCUCUCUGACCCCGCCGGCGCCCUCUCCGUCUGGGAUGCCGGGUCCAGCCAUUCCCUCUGCGCGUGGCCGCACGUGUUGUGCGCCGGAAAAUCCACCGCCGUGGCCGGGCUCUACCUCGUCAAGCUCUCCCUCGCCGGCGGCUUCCCGGCCUCGGUUUGCUCGUUGAGGUCCCUGCAGCACCUCGACCUCUCCCAGAACGACCUAGUGGGCCCUCUGCCCGCCUGCCUCACCGCCCUCCCUGCACUCUUGAACCUCACCCUCGCCGGGAACGGCUUCUCCGGCGAGGUCCCGCCGGCUUACGGCGGCGGCUUCCGGUCGCUCGUCGUGCUCAACCUGGUCCAGAACUCCAUCUCCGGCGAGUUCCCCUGGUUCCUGGCCAAAAUCAGCACCCUCCAGGAGCUCCUGCUCGCCUACAACGCGUUCACGCCGUCGCCGUUGCCGGAGAAGCUCGGCGACCUCGCCGACCUCCGGGAGCUGUUUCUCGCCAACUGCUCCCUGAGCGGUAAAAUCCCUCCUUCCAUCGGAAACCUCGGGAAUCUCGUCAAUCUGGACCUCUCCAUGAACGCCCUCUCCGGCGAGAUACCCAGGAGCAUUGGGAAUUUGAGUUCUCUGGUCCAGAUGGAGCUCUACAAGAACCAGCUCUCCGGGAGGAUACCGGUGGGGCUGGGGGGUCUCAAGAAGCUCCGGUUCUUGGACAUCUCCAUGAACCGGCUAACCGGCGAGAUACCGGAGGACAUUUUCGCCGCGCCAAGCCUGGAGAGCGUGCACAUUUAUCAGAACAACCUGACCGGGCGCUUGCCGGCGUCGCUGGGGGCGGCGACGCGUCUUGCCGAUCUAAGGAUGUUCGGCAACCAGAUCGAGGGGCCGUUCCCGCCGGAGUUCGGGAAGCAUUGCCCCCUCGGGUUCCUGGACAUGUCGGACAACCGUAUGUCGGGACCAAUCCCGGCGACGCUGUGCGCUUCAGGGAAGCUGGCGCAGCUCAUGCUGCUGGACAACCAGUUCGAGGGCGCCAUUCCGGCGGAGUUCGGGCAAUGCCGGACACUGACGAGGGUCCGGCUGCAGAACAACCGCCUCUCCGGGUCCGUGCCGCCGGAAUUCUGGGCGCUUCCUCUUGUCCAGAUGCUCGAGCUUCGUUCCAAUGCUCUGUCCGGCACGGUCGAUCCUGCCAUUGGCGGUGCCAAGAACCUGUUCGACCUGCUCAUACAGGGCAACCGAUUCACCGGCGUUCUGCCAGCCGAGCUGGGGAAUUUGUCCUUGCUGCGAAGGCUUCUUGCAUCAGACAACAACUUCUCCGGUCCGGUGCCGCCGUCGCUCGUCGAGCUUUCUGAGCUAUCCCAGCUCGACCUGAGCAACAAUUCCCUCUCCGGGGAGAUCCCACGGAAGAUUGGACAGCUGAAGCAGCUGACAGUGCUGAACCUUUCGCACAACCACCUCGCCGGGACGAUCCCUCCAGAGCUCGGGGAAAUCCACCGGAUGAACUCGCUGGACUUGUCGGAGAACGAGCUCUCCGGCGAGGUGCCCGUGCAACUGCAGAAUCUCGUGCUCUCUGCUUUCAACCUGUCGUAUAACAAGCUCAGUGGACCUCUGCCUCUCUUCUUCAGUGCCACGUACCAGCAGAGCUUCUUGGGUAACCCCGGCCUGUGCCAUGGGGUAUGCGCAGGCAACGACGACCACGGUGCCAUCCCAGCCGCCAGAGUCCACCUGAUCGUCUCCAUCCUCGCGGCAUCUGCCAUCGUCCUGCUCAUGGGUUUAGCAUGGUUCACUUACAAGUACAGAAGCUACAAGAAGCGUGCCGCUGAAAUCAGUGCUGUCGAGUCAAGUUGGGACCUCACAUCCUUCCACAAGGUGGAGUUCAGUGAGAUGGACAUAGUGAACAGCCUCGACGAGAACAACGUGAUCGGCAAGGGUGCGGCAGGGAAGGUGUACAAGGUGGUUGUUGGGCCUAGCAGUGAGGCCAUGGCUGUCAAGAAGCUCUGGGACAGCGACGUCGAAAGCAAGAAGAAGAGGAACGAUACUUUUGAGGCUGAGGUGGCCACACUGAGCAAUGUCAGGCACAAGAACAUCGUCAAGCUCUUCUGCUGCGUGACCAACGGCACCUGCCGGCUGCUUGUCUACGAGUACAUGCCGAAUGGCAGCCUGGGGGACUUCCUCCACAGUGCCAAAGCCGGCAUCCUGGAUUGGCCAACGAGGUAUAAGAUCGCGGUCCAUGCCGCCGAGGGCCUCUCCUACUUGCACCAUGACUGCGUGCCCUCGAUCGUCCACCGGGACGUGAAGUCGAACAACAUUUUGCUCGAUGCGGAGUUCGGCGCAAAGGUUGCGGACUUUGGUGUUGCAAAGACUAUUGAGAAUGGGCCGGCCACCAUGUCAGUCAUCGCUGGCUCCUGUGGUUACAUUGCUCCUGAGUAUGCCUACACCCUCCAUGUAACCGAGAAGAGCGACGUGUACAGCUUUGGCGUGGUCAUUCUGGAGCUCGUCACCGGCAAGAGGCCCAUGGCGCCAGAGAUCGGCGAGAAGCACCUGGUGGUCUGGGUUUGCGACAAUGUCGAUCAGCAUGGUGCGGAGUCUGUUCUUGAUCACAGGCUUGUUGGCCAGUCCCAUGAUGAGAUGUGCAAGGUUCUGAACAUCGGCCUGCUGUGCGUCAACACCGUCCCGACCAAACGUCCACCGAUGAGGGCUGUGGUGAAGAUGCUGCAAGAGGUUGGGGGACAGAACAAGCCCAAGGCGAAGGAGGAGGUGGCCCCUUCUCUCUGA
RNAcentral lists this ribosomal RNA (2871 nucleotides) under Triticum aestivum (bread wheat). Its description in RNAcentral is "partial small subunit ribosomal RNA". Lineage: Eukaryota; Viridiplantae; Streptophyta; Magnoliopsida; Poales; Poaceae. The record is from RNAcentral.